This 1480-nucleotide ribosomal RNA is filed under the name Staphylococcus aureus subsp. aureus ST398. Its description in RNAcentral is "bacterial SSU rRNA". It matches the Rfam family "Bacterial small subunit ribosomal RNA". Lineage: Bacteria; Bacillati; Bacillota; Bacilli; Caryophanales; Staphylococcaceae. The record is from RNAcentral.
UCCGCGGUCGUGGCGGAAUGGCAGACGCGCUAGGUUGAGGGCCUAGUGGGAGAAAUCCCGUGGAGGUUCAAAUCCUCUCGGCCGCAUCAAAAUUCUUAAUUAAAUAAGCGGGUGUAGUUUAAUGGCAAAACCUCAGCCUUCCAAGCUGAUGUUGUGGGUUCGAUUCCCAUCACCCGCUCCAUAGAUAAUUUUUAGCUAGUUGGUAAGGUAACGGCUUACCAAGGCAACGAUGCAUAGCCGACCUGAGAGGGUGAUCGGCCACACUGGAACUGAGACACGGUCCAGACUCCUACGGGAGGCAGCAGUAGGGAAUCUUCCGCAAUGGGCGAAAGCCUGACGGAGCAACGCCGCGUGAGUGAUGAAGGUCUUCGGAUCGUAAAACUCUGUUAUUAGGGAAGAACAUAUGUGUAAGUAACUGUGCACAUCUUGACGGUACCUAAUCAGAAAGCCACGGCUAACUACGUGCCAGCAGCCGCGGUAAUACGUAGGUGGCAAGCGUUAUCCGGAAUUAUUGGGCGUAAAGCGCGCGUAGGCGGUUUUUUAAGUCUGAUGUGAAAGCCCACGGCUCAACCGUGGAGGGUCAUUGGAAACUGGAAAACUUGAGUGCAGAAGAGGAAAGUGGAAUUCCAUGUGUAGCGGUGAAAUGCGCAGAGAUAUGGAGGAACACCAGUGGCGAAGGCGACUUUCUGGUCUGUAACUGACGCUGAUGUGCGAAAGCGUGGGGAUCAAACAGGAUUAGAUACCCUGGUAGUCCACGCCGUAAACGAUGAGUGCUAAGUGUUAGGGGGUUUCCGCCCCUUAGUGCUGCAGCUAACGCAUUAAGCACUCCGCCUGGGGAGUACGACCGCAAGGUUGAAACUCAAAGGAAUUGACGGGGACCCGCACAAGCGGUGGAGCAUGUGGUUUAAUUCGAAGCAACGCGAAGAACCUUACCAAAUCUUGACAUCCUUUGACAACUCUAGAGAUAGAGCCUUCCCCUUCGGGGGACAAAGUGACAGGUGGUGCAUGGUUGUCGUCAGCUCGUGUCGUGAGAUGUUGGGUUAAGUCCCGCAACGAGCGCAACCCUUAAGCUUAGUUGCCAUCAUUAAGUUGGGCACUCUAAGUUGACUGCCGGUGACAAACCGGAGGAAGGUGGGGAUGACGUCAAAUCAUCAUGCCCCUUAUGAUUUGGGCUACACACGUGCUACAAUGGACAAUACAAAGGGCAGCGAAACCGCGAGGUCAAGCAAAUCCCAUAAAGUUGUUCUCAGUUCGGAUUGUAGUCUGCAACUCGACUACAUGAAGCUGGAAUCGCUAGUAAUCGUAGAUCAGCAUGCUACGGUGAAUACGUUCCCGGGUCUUGUACACACCGCCCGUCACACCACGAGAGUUUGUAACACCCGAAGCCGGUGGAGUAACCUUUUAGGAGCUAGCCGUCGAAGGUGGGACAAAUGAUUGGGGUGAAGUCGUAACAAGGUAGCCGUAUCGGAAGGUGCGGCUG